CCUACGGGAGGCAGCAGUGGGGAAUAUUGCACAAUGGGGGAAACCCUGAUGCAGCGACGCCGCGUGAGUGAAGAAGUAUUUCGGUAUGUAAAGCUCUAUCAGCAAGGAAGAUAAUGACGGUACUUGACUAAGAAGCCCCGGCUAACUACGUGCCAGCAGCCGCGGUAAUACGUAGGGGGCAAGCGUUAUCCGGAUUUACUGGGUGUAAAGGGAGCGUAGGUGGCAUGGUAAGUCAGAUGUGAAAGCCCAGGGCUCAACCCUGGGACUGCAUUUGAAACUGCCAAGCUAGAGUGCAGGAGAGGUAAGUGGAAUUCCUAGUGUAGCGGUGAAAUGCGUAGAUAUUAGGAGGAACACCAGUGGCGAAGGCGGCUUACUGGACUGUAACUGACACUGAGGCUCGAAAGCGUGGGGAGCAAACAGGAUUAGAUACCCUGGUAGU
This 439-nucleotide ribosomal RNA is filed under the name uncultured Anaerobium sp. RNAcentral's name for it is "bacterial SSU rRNA". It matches the Rfam family "Bacterial small subunit ribosomal RNA", at positions 338 to 794 of the family's 1533-position model. Lineage: Bacteria; Bacillati; Bacillota; Clostridia; Lachnospirales; Lachnospiraceae. The record is from RNAcentral.